Molecule: long non-coding RNA, 1079 nt
Filed under: Nicotiana tabacum (common tobacco)
Lineage: Eukaryota; Viridiplantae; Streptophyta; Magnoliopsida; Solanales; Solanaceae
Description: long non-coding RNA (NTAB_LNC014664)
Source: RNAcentral
CGUGUUUCUAUUCGAGUUCGACCAGAUUUUGCUCGUAAUGGCGCUAUUCUCUUGGUUGUAAUUUGUUGGAAAUUUUCUUCGAUUAAAAGAUUAUUUAAGGUCCACUUCUAUUCUUUCUCUUGUCAACUUAUUUUCCUUAAAUUUAUGUAUGGUUGUUGAAUAAAGUUAUUCUUCUUAUGAAGGGUGUUAUUGUGUCUAAAUGUUUAAUUAGGGGAAGAAUGCACAUCACUAUGUAGAUAUUGUUUUGGAUUUCAUUAAUCAUGCUUAAAUUAAUGCUUAUUAGUUAAUUCAUUUCACAGGAUAUUAUAUUGUUAUGAAAGUAAUGAAAAUGGGCCAUGGGCAUAAUCCACUUUGUUGCUAAUAAUCAGUUUGUUGCUUCAAGUGUUACAAUUAAGUAACAUUCAGAAAACCAACUUCGUUGGCAAUUAAGUUGUUAUUUAUCAGAUUGUUGCUUCAAGAGAAAUUGGUCCAGUGGCAUCAUUAGUGUGGCCUUGGCAAAAUUGUCGUUGCUUUGUUCUUUGAUAAUUAUAUUUUGCCAAAGUAAUUACAAAGUUAUUUCUCCAUUUUUGGCAAAAUCUAUCUUCAUUUUUGGCAAUUGGUUAAUGAAUUUAAAGAGAAAAUUGGGGGUUUUAGCCUACAGUUUCAUAAUAUGAUUUUUUGAGGUUUGAACACCGAUUUGGAGUCGGAUUUGAGUGAAACUAGUAUGGUUGGACUCGUAGUUGAAUGUGUUAUUAGAUUUUGUGAGUUUUAUCAAGUUUUGAGGCAUGGGUCCGGGUGUAUUUUUGGCCGGAUUGGAGAUUUGAUGUAGAUUUAGAUCUUUAUCAUUUGAAAUUGUUUCCUUGGGCUUUAUCUGAUGUAUUUGAGUUGCUUUUGGCUAGUUUUGAGUCGUUUGGAGGUCACUACACGCGUGAUGGCAUUCUUGGAGCAUCGCUUGGCUUGCUCGGUGGUGGAAUUGGCUUGUUUAAGAUAAGUAACUCUUCUAAUGUUAGUGUUGAGGGUAUGAAACCACGAAUUAUAUGUUUUUUGAUUGUUGUUGAGGUGACGCACAUGCUAGGUGAUGGGCGUGUAUACGUGUACCC